GAGUUUGAUCAUGGCUCAGAGCGAACGCUGGCGGCAGGCCUAAAACAUGCAAGUCGAACGCCGUAGCAAUACGGAGUGGCAGACGGGUGAGUAACACGUGGGAACGUGCCUUUUGGUUCGGGACAACCCAGGGAAACUUGGGCUAAUACCGGAUAAGCCCUUCGGGGAAAGAUUUAUCGCCAGAAGAUCGGCCCGCGUCUGAUUAGCUAGUUGGUGGGGUAAUGGCCCACCAAGGCUACGAUCAGUAGCUGGUCUGAGAGGAUGAUCAGCCACACUGGGACUGAGACACGGCCCAGACUCCUACGGGAGGCAGCAGUUAGGAAUCUUGGACAAUGGGCGCAAGCCUGAUCCAGCCAUGCCGCGUGAGUGAUGAAGGCCUUAGGGUUGUAAAGCUCUUUCAGCGGGGAAGAUAAUGACGGUACCCGCAGAAGAAGCCCCGGCUAACUUCGUGCAGCCGCCGCAGU
RNAcentral lists this ribosomal RNA (464 nucleotides) under uncultured Alphaproteobacteria bacterium. Its description in RNAcentral is "bacterial SSU rRNA". It matches the Rfam family "Bacterial small subunit ribosomal RNA", at positions 9 to 521 of the family's 1533-position model. Lineage: Bacteria; Pseudomonadati; Pseudomonadota; Alphaproteobacteria. The record is from RNAcentral.